RNAcentral lists this ribosomal RNA (440 nucleotides) under uncultured bacterium. RNAcentral describes it as "partial 16S ribosomal RNA". It matches the Rfam family "Bacterial small subunit ribosomal RNA", at positions 338 to 795 of the family's 1533-position model. The record is from RNAcentral.
CCUACGGGAGGCAGCAGUGGGGAAUAUUGCACAAUGGGGGAAACCCUGAUGCAGCGACGCCGCGUGAGGGAUGAAGUAUUUCGGUAUGUAAAGCUCUAUCAGCAGGGAAGAUAAUGACGGUACCUGACUAAGAAGCUCCGGCUAAAUACGUGCCAGCAGCCGCGGUAAUACGUAUGGAGCAAGCGUUAUCCGGAUUUACUGGGUGUAAAGGGCGCGCAGACGGCAGGGCAAGUCUGAUGUGAAAGUCCGGGGCUCAACCCCAGGACUGCAUUGGAAACUGUCCGGCUAGAGUGCAGGAGAGGUAAGUGGAAUUCCUAGUGUAGCGGUGAAAUGCGUAGAGAUUAGGAGGAACACCAGUGGCGAAGGCGGCUUACUAGACUGUAACUGACGUUGAGGCUCGAAAGCGUGGGGAGCAAACAGGAUUAGAUACCCCUGUAGUC